This 71-nucleotide transfer RNA is filed under the name Marmota monax (woodchuck). Its description in RNAcentral is "tRNA.Ala". The stretch from base 6 to 66 matches the Rfam family "tRNA", at positions 6 to 65 of the family's 71-position model. Rfam says of the family: Transfer RNA (tRNA) molecules are approximately 80 nucleotides in length. Their secondary structure includes four short double-helical elements and three loops (D, anti-codon, and T loops). The record is from RNAcentral. Lineage: Eukaryota; Metazoa; Chordata; Mammalia; Rodentia; Sciuridae.
GGGGUUGUAGCUCAGUGGUAGAGCACUUGCCUUGCAUGCAUGAGGCCUUGGGUUCCAUCCUCAGCACUACA